UUAAAGGCCCUACUAAGGGCCAAGUUACUCACACUGUACAUCUUUA
Chlorocebus sabaeus (green monkey) is the source of this 46-nucleotide non-coding RNA. The record is from Rfam. NCBI's taxonomy places the organism in Eukaryota, Metazoa, Chordata, Mammalia, Primates, Cercopithecidae.